RNAcentral lists this ribosomal RNA (224 nucleotides) under uncultured bacterium. RNAcentral describes it as "partial 16S ribosomal RNA". It matches the Rfam family "Bacterial small subunit ribosomal RNA", at positions 328 to 545 of the family's 1533-position model. The record is from RNAcentral.
ACGCUCGACACCUACGGAGGCAGCAGUGAGGAAUAUUGGUCAAUGGGCGCAGGCCUGAACCAGCCAAGUAGCGUGAAGGAUGACUGCCCUAUGGGUUGUAAACUUCUUUUAUAUGGGAAUAAAGUUUUCCACGUGUGGAAUUUUGUAUGUACCAUAUGAAUAAGGAUCGGCUAACUCCGUGACAGCACGCCGGACGGUAAUCUGAGGCGGGCGUGGACGAAGGC